AGAGUUUGAUCCUGGCUCAGAGUGAUCGCUGGCGGCGUGCUUAACACAUGCAAGUCGAGCGAAUUUCAGCAGCGUAUCGCUGAAGUUAGCGGCAGACGGGUGAGUAAUAUUUGGGCAAUCUGCCCUUUAGUGGAAAACAACCUGCCGAAAGGCGGGCUAAUGUUCCAUAAGACCACAGGAGGACAUCCUCCAGGGGUUAAAGCUCCGCAAGGGGCGCUAGAGGAGGAGCCCGAAUCCUAUCAGCUAGUUGGUGAGGUAACGGCUCACCAAGGCUUUGACGGGUAGCCGGCCUGAAAGGGUGACCGGCCACACUGGCACUGAGACACGGGCCAGACUCCUACGGGAGGCAGCAGUGGGGAAUUUUGGACAAUGGGGGCAACCCUGAUCCAGCGACGCCGCGUGAAGGACGAAGGUCUUCGGAUUGUAAACUUCUUUUGGAGGGGAUGAAUGCCUGAGUGAAAAACUCAGGGUGACAGUACUCUCUGAAUAAGCCACGGCUAACUACGUGCCAGCAGCCGCGGUAAUACGUAGGUGGCAAGCGAUACUCGGAAUCACUAGGCGUAAAGCGCAGGUAGGCGGUUCGGUAAGUCUUUUGUGAAAGCUCCCGGCUUAACUGGGAGAGGUCAAAGGAAACUACCGGGCUAGAGUGUGGCAGAGGAAGCUAGAAUUCCCGGUGUAGCGGUGAAAUGCGUAGAUAUCGGGAGGAAUACCUAUGGCGAAAGCAGGCUUCUGGGCCAUCACUGACGCUGAUCUGCGAAAGCUAGGGGAGCAAACAGGAUUAGAUACCCCAGUAGUCC
Molecule: ribosomal RNA, 797 nt
Filed under: uncultured bacterium
Lineage: Bacteria
Description: bacterial SSU rRNA
Rfam family: Bacterial small subunit ribosomal RNA
Source: RNAcentral